This 492-nucleotide ribosomal RNA is filed under the name uncultured bacterium. Its description in RNAcentral is "partial 16S ribosomal RNA". It matches the Rfam family "Bacterial small subunit ribosomal RNA", at positions 29 to 507 of the family's 1533-position model. The record is from RNAcentral.
AGUGAACGCUGGCGGUAGGCCUAACACAUGCAAGUCGAACGGCAGCACAGUAAGAGCUUGCUCUUACGGGUGGCGAGUGGCGGACGGGUGAGGAAUACAUCGGAAUCUACUUUUUCGUGGGGGAUAACGUAGGGAAACUUACGCUAAUACCGCAUACGACCUACGGGUGAAAGCAGGGGAUCUUCGGACCUUGCGCGAUUGAAUGAGCCGAUGUCGGAUUAGCUAGUUGGCGGGGUAAAGGCCCACCAAGGCGACGAUCCGUAGCUGGUCUGAGAGGAUGGUCAGCCACACUGGAACUGAGACACGGUCCAGACUCCUACGAGAGGCAGCAGUGGGGAAUAUUGGACAAUGGGCGGAAGCCUGAUCCAGCCAUACCGCGUGGGUGAAGAAGGCCUUCGGGUUGUAAAGCCCUUUUGUUGGGAAAGAAAAGCAGCAGGUUAAUACCCCGCUGUUCUGACGGUACCCAAAGAAUAAGCACCGGCUAACUUCGUG